Molecule: long non-coding RNA, 163 nt
Filed under: Cricetulus griseus (Chinese hamster)
Lineage: Eukaryota; Metazoa; Chordata; Mammalia; Rodentia; Cricetidae
Description: lncRNA (ENSCGRG00000024795.1)
Source: RNAcentral
CUGAGGACCAAGUUUCAGCACACAAGUCCAAGGAGCUUGAUUUCAUGUUCAAACUGUAAUGCCUGGCACAGCACAGUAAAUAUGGAAAGUAUCCUCGUAAACCAGCCUUACAGAUGAUGUCUCACUUCCUGACCGCUUUGAUGCUCCUGCUGCUGAUGCUGAC